CCUACGGGAGGCAGCAGUGAGGAAUAUUCGUCAAUGGACGAGAGUCUGAACCAGCAAAGUAGCGUGAAGGAUGACUGCCCUAUGGGUUGUAAGCUUCUUUUAUAUGGGAAUAAAACAGGGUAUGCAUACCCUCUUGUAUGUACCAUAUGAAUAAGGAUCGGCUAACUCCGUGCCAGCGGCCGCGGUAAUACGGAGGAUCCGCGCGUUAUCCGGAUUUAGUGGGGUUAAAGGGAGCGUAGGUGGAUUGUUAAGUCAGUUGUGAAAGUUUGCGGCUCAACCGUAAAAUUGCAGUUGAAACUGGCAGUCUUGAGUACAGUAGAGGUGGGCGGAAUUCGUGGUGUAGCGGUGAAAUGCUUAGAUAUCACGAAGAACUCCGAUUGCGAAGGCAGCUCACUGGACUGCAACUGACACUGAUGCUCGAAAGUGUGGGUAUCAAACAGGAUUAGAUACCCGGGUAGUC
This 460-nucleotide ribosomal RNA is filed under the name uncultured bacterium. RNAcentral describes it as "partial 16S ribosomal RNA". It matches the Rfam family "Bacterial small subunit ribosomal RNA", at positions 338 to 795 of the family's 1533-position model. The record is from RNAcentral.